RNAcentral lists this ribosomal RNA (760 nucleotides) under uncultured bacterium. RNAcentral's name for it is "bacterial SSU rRNA". It matches the Rfam family "Bacterial small subunit ribosomal RNA", at positions 28 to 776 of the family's 1533-position model. The record is from RNAcentral.
GAUGAACGNCUAGCUACAGGUCUUAACACAUGCAAGUCGAGGGGCAUCAGGAAGAAAGCUUGCUUUCUUUGCUGGCGACCGGCGCACGGGUGAGUAACACGUAUCCAACCUGCCCUUUACUCGGGGAUAGCCUUUCGAAAGAAAGAUUAAUACCCGAUAGCAUAAUGAUUCCGCAUGGUUUCAUUAUUAAAGGAUUCCGGUAAAGGAUGGGGAUGCGUUCCAUUAGGUUGUUGGUGAGGUAACGGCUCACCAAGCCUUCGAUGGAUAGGGGUUCUGAGAGGAAGGUCCCCCACAUUGGAACUGAGACACGGUCCAAACUCCUACGGGAGGCAGCAGUGAGGAAUAUUGGUCAAUGGGCGCUAGCCUGAACCAGCCAAGUAGCGUGAAGGAUGAAGGCUCUAUGGGUCGUAAACUUCUUUUAUAUAAGAAUAAAGUGCAGUAUGUAUACUGUUUUGUAUGUAUUAUAUGAAUAAGGAUCGGCUAACUCCGUGCCAGCAGCCGCGGUAAUACGGAGGAUCCGAGCGUUAUCCGGAUUUAUUGGGUUUAAAGGGAGCGUAGGUGGACUGGUAAGUCAGUUGUGAAAGUUUGCGGCUCAACCGUAAAAUUGCAGUUGAUACUGUCAGUCUUGAGUACAGUAGAGGUGGGCGGAAUUCGUGGUGUAGCGGUGAAAUGCUUAGAUAUCACGAAGAACUCCGAUUGCGAAGGCAGCUCACUGGACUGCAACUGACACUGAUGCUCGAAAGUGUGGGUAUCAAACAGG